Molecule: long non-coding RNA, 309 nt
Filed under: Eucalyptus grandis
Lineage: Eukaryota; Viridiplantae; Streptophyta; Magnoliopsida; Myrtales; Myrtaceae
Description: long non-coding RNA (EGRA_LNC006460)
Source: RNAcentral
CUGACUGAGAUUGGGACGAUUUCUGCUCUUCAGCAUCCACAUCUUGUGAAACUCUAUGGAUGCUGCAUUGAAGGAAAUCAACUUUUGCUGGUUUACGAGUACAUGGAAAAUAACAGUCUUGCUCGCGCUUUAUUUGGUAAUUUGAUAUCACAUUGUGCUUCAUUGACUUCAUUUAAUGACAUGGCAGUAAAGCAGCUUUGAUGUCUUCUGAUACAAUUGAAGGUCCUAAAGAAUUUCAGUUAAAGUUAGAUUGGUGGACAAGACACAAGAUAUGCGUGGGUAUUGCCAGGGGAUUGGCAUAUCUUCAUG